RNAcentral lists this ribosomal RNA (435 nucleotides) under uncultured bacterium. Its description in RNAcentral is "partial 16S ribosomal RNA". It matches the Rfam family "Bacterial small subunit ribosomal RNA", at positions 28 to 507 of the family's 1533-position model. The record is from RNAcentral.
GAUGAACGCUGGCGGUAUGCUUAACACAUGCAAGUCGAACGGGCUCUUCGGAGUUAGUGGCGGACGGGUGAGUAACGCGUGAGAAUCUGGCCUUGGGUUCGGGACAACCACUGGAAACGGUGGCUAAUACCGGAUGUGCCGAGAGGUAAAAGAGAAAUUGCCUGAAGAUGAGCUCGCGUCUGAUUAGCUAGUUGGUGAGGUAAAGGCUCACCAAGGCAGCGAUCAGUAGCUGGUCUGAGAGGAUGACCAGCCACACUGGGACUGAGACACGGCCCAGACUCCUACGGGAGGAAGCAGUGGGGAAUGUUCCGGAAUGGGCGAAAGCCUGACGGAGCAAUACCGCGUGAGGGAAGAAGGCUCUUGGGUUGUAAACCUCUUUUCUUAGGGAAGAACAAAAUGACGGUACCUAAGGAAUCAGCAUCGGCUAACUCCGUG